UCGAUCGAUGCUAGUGAUGCUCUGUCGAUCGAUGUUGCGUACCCAUCCUCGAUCCUCGUGCAAACUUGUCUUCCUCGGAUCUUUUCCCUUUUACCUAACAUAAAUAAAACACUAAAAGUCAGUAAAAGAUAACUAAUAAAACCAAUCCAAUUUUUUUUUCAAUGAACAGUGACUGCUACAGUAACUCCCGAUUUUUUGCUACAGUGUCGGUUGAUAUUCUUGCUAUAGUGUCGCUCGAUUUUUUUGCUACAGUGUCGCUCGGCACUGUAGCAGUGCCGUCGUUACUGUUCACUUUUUAUUUUUUUGACCUGCAUAAAAAUGAAAACAAAAAUCAGUAAUAAUCUAACAUAAACUGAAUGAAAUUACCUAAUAGUGGGUUGCCUUCCACUCAAUUCUUAUUUUUAGUCAUUAGCUUGACUUUUGGAUAUCUGAUUUAGUCUGGAUGAGGAUGUGAACUUGCUUCAGAACAAGUCUCAGU
RNAcentral lists this long non-coding RNA (478 nucleotides) under Brassica napus (rape). RNAcentral describes it as "long non-coding RNA (BNAP_LNC024152)". The record is from RNAcentral. Lineage: Eukaryota; Viridiplantae; Streptophyta; Magnoliopsida; Brassicales; Brassicaceae.